AUUUAAAACACCCACCCGUUGCUAACAAAUCAACCAAGUAAAUACUAGUAUGAAACAUAAUAAAUUACUCAAAAUGUCACUCAGCUGGAGAAAUUUUCCUAAACUUUUUUUGGUUUUGCCAGUGUUGCAUUUUGCGCUCGCGGCAGUGAUCGAAAUUGAAUCUGCAGAACAGAAACGGAUGAGAAUGUUGGGUGAGCAUAUACAAACUUAUAGAUAGAGGUAGAAUUACAGCAAUUAAAUAUCUGCAGCUAAAACUAAUGUGGAGACCAUUGCAGCAGCCAUGAAGCGGCAGAAGGAGGACAUAAAAGAGUGCUAAGGAGUCCACACACACCCUGUAAGGGAGUUACCCCAAAAGUCCAAACCAAAUGCCAAACCCCUUCGACAAAGACUUAUCGACAAGUGAAACGGAAGCAGAGUCAAGGUGCAAGCAAGCAAACCCCAAAAAAUCAUUACACCUGUUCAUAGUAGGGGAAAAAUUAAGAGAGAACUCUGGCCAAGUUCUGAGUGUAGAAAGCGUGGAAAUCGAAUGAAGAAGAGACAAGAGAGGGAGAGGGAGCGAAACAGUGCCCGAAAAUUUAACGCUCAUGGUUCCGUCGAAAGGGUUGUCUUUUUCCUUUUUUCAGGGGUGACUCUUUAUAUUUUUCUUGUAGCUGUUUUACAAUUUUUGAGAAUUGGAAUUGGUCACGCUGCCACGGCCGCUGCACUUUGUUGCAUGCAACGGGAAAACUUCAUCGAAAAAUUAAUAUGCUUAAUGAGCAGGCCGUGGCCAGUCACUGAUAGACAUCUGCAACAAGUGGCAGCUGCAUCUAGAUUUUUGCACGAAACUUCGUUAUAAUUGUUAUUAGCUUAAAUAUAUUUUUGGACUCCUCGGAAUAAUUAGCACUACUCUUAGGUGACAGCUGCCGGUCUGUCUUUCCCGCAAUUAAUGAGCAAAAGAAAGGUCUAAGGAUAAGCCUUUGUCUGCCUCUUAAUUAUAGUAAUUUAUUAUCUAUGCAUCACAUUUUUUGGCUACCAAAAAAGGGUUGCCAUGUGGCAGCUGGAAAUGGAAUGAUAUCCCAAAAAUAAAGUUUUAAUUUGAAUGCCCAACUAAAGCAGGGUCUGUGGUUGGCAGGUGGAAAGGAAAAGAGUAUGGGAUGCGCAGAUAGACAGAGAGUACAUGGAUAAAUUCAACCUCAAAUAACUCCAGCACUCCCUCAAGGUUAGCUCCCAGACUUUUACUCAACAUCUAUAAUACAACAGUUGACCAAAUUGUCCCUCAAGGCAAAUGCAGAACUACCUCAAAUUGUAGUAUAAUUUAUUUCCCAAGUUUCUCAACAUUUUAG
RNAcentral lists this long non-coding RNA (1322 nucleotides) under Drosophila guanche. Lineage: Eukaryota; Metazoa; Arthropoda; Insecta; Diptera; Drosophilidae. The record is from RNAcentral.